Molecule: ribosomal RNA, 467 nt
Filed under: uncultured bacterium
Lineage: Bacteria
Description: bacterial SSU rRNA
Rfam family: Bacterial small subunit ribosomal RNA
Source: RNAcentral
AGGACGACGCUGGCGGCGCGCCUAACACAUGCAAGUCGAACGAGCGAGAGAGAGCUUGCUUUCUCGAGCGAGUGGCGAACGGGUGAGUAACGCGUGAGGAACCUGCCUCAAAGAGGGGGACAACAGUUGGAAACGACUGCUAAUACCGCAUAAGCCCACGACCCGGCAUCGGGUUGAGGGAAAAGGAGCAAUCCGCUUUGAGAUGGCCUCGCGUCCGAUUAGCUAGUUGGUGGGGUAACGGCCCACCAAGGCGACGAUCGGUAGCCGGACUGAGAGGUUGAACGGCCACAUUGGGACUGAGACACGGCCCAGACUCCUACGGGAGGCAGCAGUGGGGAAUAUUGCACAAUGGGGGAAACCCUGAUGCAGCGACGCCGCGUGGAGGAAGAAGGUCUUCGGAUUGUAAACUCCUGUUGUUGAGGAAGAUAAUGACGGUACUCAACAAGGAAGUGACGGCUAACUACGUG